Molecule: ribosomal RNA, 664 nt
Filed under: Acinetobacter baumannii
Lineage: Bacteria; Pseudomonadati; Pseudomonadota; Gammaproteobacteria; Moraxellales; Moraxellaceae
Description: bacterial SSU rRNA
Rfam family: Bacterial small subunit ribosomal RNA
Source: RNAcentral
UAACUGAAGAGUUUGAUCAUGGCUCAGAUUGAACGCUGGCGGCAGGCUUAACACAUGCAAGUCGAGCGGGGGAAGGUAGCUUGCUACUGGACCUAGCGGCGGACGGGUGAGUAAUGCUUAGGAAUCUGCCUAUUAGUGGGGGACAACAUCUCGAAAGGGAUGCUAAUACCGCAUACGUCCUACGGGAGAAAGCAGGGGAUCUUCGGACCUUGCGCUAAUAGAUGAGCCUAAGUCGGAUUAGCUAGUUGGUGGGGUAAAGGCCUACCAAGGCGACGAUCUGUAGCGGGUCUGAGAGGAUGAUCCGCCACACUGGGACUGAGACACGGCCCAGACUCCUACGGGAGGCAGCAGUGGGGAAUAUUGGACAAUGGGGGGAACCCUGAUCCAGCCAUGCCGCGUGUGUGAAGAAGGCCUUAUGGUUGUAAAGCACUUUAAGCGAGGAGGAGGCUACUUUAGUUAAUACCUAGAGAUAGUGGACGUUACUCGCAGAAUAAGCACCGGCUAACUCUGUGCCAGCAGCCGCGGUAAUACAGAGGGUGCGAGCGUUAAUCGGAUUUACUGGGCGUAAAGCGUGCGUAGGCGGCUUAUUAAGUCGGAUGUGAAAUCCCCGAGCUUAACUUGGGAAUUGCAUUCGAUACUGGUGAGCUAGAGUAUGGGAGAGGAU